RNAcentral lists this microRNA (24 nucleotides) under Oryza sativa (Asian cultivated rice). Its description in RNAcentral is "osa-miR812p". Its record names the gene osa-miR812p. Lineage: Eukaryota; Viridiplantae; Streptophyta; Magnoliopsida; Poales; Poaceae. The record is from miRBase by way of RNAcentral.
GACGGACGAUUAAAGUUGGGCAUG